Molecule: ribosomal RNA, 388 nt
Filed under: Nalata nr. spinicollis 00052188
Lineage: Eukaryota; Metazoa; Arthropoda; Insecta; Hemiptera; Reduviidae
Description: partial 16S ribosomal RNA
Source: RNAcentral
CAAAAACAUGUCCUUUAGUUUUUAUUUAAGGUUUAACCUGCCCAAUGAUUUAUUGAAUGGCCGCGGUAUAUUAACUGUGCUAAGGUAGCAUAAUCAAUUGUCUUUUAAUUGAGGGCUAGAAUGAAUGGUUGGACGAAAUAAUUGCUUUCUUUAUUUUAAUUUAUGAAUUUAAUUUUUCAGUCAAAAAGCUGAAAUAUUUUUGUAGGACGAGAAGACCCUGUAGAUCUUAAUAAAACUUGCUUUAAUUUUUUUUGGUUAAUAUUUUAUUAUUAUAGUUUGUAUUAUUUUGUUGGGGUGACAGUAGAAUUUAUAUAACUUCUAUUUUAUAUAUUUCAUUUAUAUAUGAUUAUUUGAUCCUUUUUUAAAGAUWAAAAGACUAAGUUACCUC